GUGUAAACUGCCAGUGUCAGUAAAAAGUUUUUUUGUGAAGAAGCAAUUGCAUAAAAAUUUUUCAUUCAAAUUUUUGGCAUUUUUAUUUAAUUUCAGUGUGAAAAUAUAGCAGGAUAAUUUGAGUAAAUAUCCGACGGACAGUUUCUCACUCCGAUAUACUAAGAUAACGGUAAAAUAAUGCACAUAACAGGGAAGGAAUGUCGCAAUUAUUUAUUACAAAAAAAAAAUUUGCCUGUUCGUACCGUUCCGGCCUUUACUUAUCAAGCACUGCAGAAGAACACAAUUGUUGAACCACCACCAAAAAUCUAUAUAUACAAAAAGCGACCUGUUAAGGAAACACUUUUCAAAAUGUAUUUUCGUCGUGGUGACAUACCGGUAGCUAAAAGAAUUAAAGGUAGUGGUAAGGGCAUUUCAGGAACAGUGAAAUGGUUUUGUGAGCCAAAGGAACUCGACUAUUGCUAUUAUUUGCCCAUCUUUGUGGAUGGUCUAGCUGAUACUGAUAUUGACAUACGUUCACUUGCCCAAGAAGCUGCAAUGGAUUUGAUACUUAAAGCGCCGCACAAAAUUUUACCAGUUCUACCUAAACUGAUUCUUCCAUUCAAAAGAGCAUUCAAUACUCGUGAUAAGCGAAUAAUAAUUUCAGCGCUGAAAGUCUUGCAAACUAUGGUUCUGGUUGGACCGUGUGUUGGACAAGCUCUCGUUCCAUACUACCGUCAGCUCUUGGCCGUAUGUAAUUUAUAUAAAAAUAUUAAUGUGAACCUCGGUUCCGGUGUUGAUCCUGAUCGUAGUCGCCGUAUCGGCGAUGUUAUUGAAGAUACACUCUCUUUGCUUGAAACAUGUGGAGGCCCCAAUGCAUUUAUCAACAUUAAGUAUAUGAUUCCGACUUAUGAAAGUAGCACCCAUCCCAUAUGUGAGCCGUCGGCAGAAAACCCUGCUGCUUAAAGCAUAAAAUAUAAGUAGAGUUAGAUUUUGAUAGUACAAUAAUGCAGUUUACGAAAAAGCAAGAAGUUAAGCCAUUUUCAAAAUAAUAUUUUUUUUAUUUUAUUAAUGGCUUAUAUCUUGGUUUACUUCUGAACAGUUAAAAUAUAUAUCUAGUGCGACAUUAUAUUUUAUAUAUAAACAUUUAGUGCGCGUAUUGUCAUGAAUACCUUUGCUAUAUUACCAAAAAUAAAUUCAAAAUUUAUAACCGUUAAAAUGUACUGUUGAUAGUUUGACAUAUUUGAUACACCACUACAUACAUGUCCUUGUUAGUUGCUGUCAAUUUUACUUUGAUGAUUUGUCAGGGUUAAUAUGUGUUAUUGUUACUGAUAUGCAAGUAAAUGGAAAAGAAGAAGCAGAUCACAUCCUAAAAAAUAAACAAACAUAAAAUUUUGGAAACACUUCAUCGAUACAAACUAACAGCAUUGAUUAUUUUUAAAAAUGAUCGAUUCACUUUUUGAAAAUGGCUUCCGGUUGGACAGAUAUAACAGUGAAGAUCUGUUUAGCGCGCUGCUACGAUAUGGAUUAUUUCUAGGCGCAAUAUUUCAGCUCAUCUGUAUUGCUGCAUCGAUUUUGCUCCCUGCUGCUAAUGAAGGAUCCAAUUGCGAAGAUGGAAAUGAGGAUUAUAAGUUCAAUGGCGAAAUGGGAAACAUGCGCCGUUUGCACAAGUUACGCAAACAGGAUAAAAAGAAGCGACGUUGAUCUAUCGUCGUGUGCAAAUAUUUCUAACUUAGAAUGUUAACUAUAUAUAUGAGUACACAAUGUAAUUAAGAUUUUUUUUACCGAUAGAUUGUCAUGCAAUAUUUACGAGUUUAAUUUUAUAUUUUAAACAGCAGUGCAGUUAAAACCCCUUUAACUCAAUAUAUACAUAAAACACUGUGACACAUGCACAUAUUUGUAUAUUAACAAAUUAUAUUACAGUACCAGUUACAGUGCAAAAUUGCUUUUUUUUAAGAAUGUUUAGAUAUAUAAAUUUCAAAUAUAUUAUAGAUAUUCGUACACAACUUCUAACUAUAUUGUAACACUACUCGAGAGCAUACACACUCGCAUUUAGCUCAAAUUUUCCCAACGGCAGUAUUACUUAGUCUAAAGUCAACUCCGGCGACAGUGUUUUAGCAGCACUUACGCCUGCACAAUUCCAAAGUUAAACAUGCGCUUAACAUUCUUAUUAAUAUUAUUACACGGUCAGACAGGGAAAUUGAUUGUUGAAUGUAUUCCAUCAACGGAUUGUGGCGAUAUGUCUGACUGUGUUCCGGAAAGCAAUGCUAUAUGUGCACUCGAUCGGGAACUUGUCUGUUUUAAAUAUUUUGACUCCUUAUGCCAACUAAAGUUUAAAGAAUGCCAAAAUCAAAAAGAGUACUCGGUUUAUUCGCAAGCAUACUGCCAAAAUUCUGCGUUUAUGUGUACCACUUAAUUGGAGUUGUGGCAAGCAAGUGAGAAGCUGAAUUUCUAGUUAUAGCUCAUGAAUGGAAGUAUGUGUUAAUUUAUUAAAAAUAUAAAUUGCUAUAUGAAAAACUAA
This is a non-coding RNA of Bactrocera oleae (olive fruit fly), 2497 nucleotides long. The record is from RefSeq and is a predicted model, not a curated record. Lineage: Eukaryota; Metazoa; Arthropoda; Insecta; Diptera; Tephritidae.